CCCAGCACAGAGCAGAGUAGAACAGAGUAGGAUUGGAGCUGAGAGAUAGUAAGUAAAUAGGCAGCAGAAAUAUGUCAAGCAACAAUACCCCAUGUUAGCAUUUUACCUAUGUAUGGCAUUUUCUAUUUUCAGUGACGGACUAUGAGCCGUGAUAAACACAUUACUCCCUUCUUUAACAAAAAAGAGCAUGGUUAACUCCAAAGACUUCUCUAGACCAGCCUGGAUGGUACUUAAACUUUAAUCAACCAAUGCUCAAGUAAAAGAGCAGUAUCCAGCCCCAGCACACCUAACUGUUUUGCAUAACAUAGUCUCUGAUUUCAGGAGUAGAGGAAAAUAUAUAAGAAGAGAUUUACCUGGGUAACGGUUAAGUUUCCCAAUCUCCAUCGUACAUAAUAUCGAAUAGGAAUCACAAGUGUGUAGAGGACAUGAAGGAAGGCAAAUCCCAGAGCUACCAAGCCAAGCUGCUUUCGGCAAAGCAUCCAGUGGUCAAGCCAGUCUGGGAAUCGACGGUAUUUUGUGCCUCGGUACAGUUGUAGAAUGGCAGCAAUAACACCAGGGAGGUAAACCAAAGCAAGCAGUUGCUCCUGACUGGAGAGCCCAGGCUGAGAUGGUGUUAAAUGCUUUUACCACGUGGGCUCCUGGCACCAACUGAGCAAGAUCCCACCCCACAGGCCUUGGAAGCCUGAGGCAGUAUUCUUCUGGGAUAUUUCCAACUAGGCUUCCCAUGAGCAUGUUAGAGCCAGCCUAGCUGGUGAAUUUUACUUCUGUCACCUCUCAGAGGGAAGAGGUCUGAGAGGCUCAGGCCUCUUCCAGCUUUUGAGGA
RNAcentral lists this non-coding RNA (823 nucleotides) under Pongo abelii (Sumatran orangutan). The record is from RNAcentral. Lineage: Eukaryota; Metazoa; Chordata; Mammalia; Primates; Hominidae.